UCACUGGCAGUCCAGUGGUUAGGACUUGGUGUUUUCACUGCUGUGGCCUGGGUUCAAUCCCUGGUCAGGGAG
This 72-nucleotide transfer RNA is filed under the name Capra hircus (goat). It matches the Rfam family "tRNA". Rfam says of the family: Transfer RNA (tRNA) molecules are approximately 80 nucleotides in length. Their secondary structure includes four short double-helical elements and three loops (D, anti-codon, and T loops). Further hydrogen bonds mediate the characteristic L-shaped molecular structure. tRNAs have two regions of fundamental functional importance: the anti-codon, which is responsible for specific mRNA codon recognition, and the 3' end, to which the tRNAs corresponding amino acid is attached (by aminoacyl-tRNA synthetases). tRNAs cope with the degeneracy of the genetic code in two manners: having more than one tRNA (with a specific anti-codon) for a particular amino acid; and 'wobble' base-pairing, i.e. permitting non-standard base-pairing at the 3rd anti-codon position. The record is from Rfam by way of RNAcentral. Lineage: Eukaryota; Metazoa; Chordata; Mammalia; Artiodactyla; Bovidae. RNAcentral also lists the same sequence under 1 other name.